AUAAAUAAUCGACCCGGUCCUUAGAUUUACUUAAGGCUUUCCAGGAGCCGUAUGAGGUGAAAAUCUCAUGUACGGUUCUAUAAUAGAGAUGGGAACAAUAAUGUUAUCACCGACUAGGAUUAUCUAACAGUUUAAGUACAAUUGAUAUAGUUGAUGCGCAAUCAAAAUAUGGUUUUUGGGGUUGGAAUUUGUGGCGUCAACCUUUGGGUUUCAUCGAUUUUCUAAUUUCUUCGCUAACAGAAUGUGAAAGAUUACCUUUUGAUUUACCAGAAGUAGAAGAAGAAUUAGUGGCUGGUUAUCAAACAAAAUAUUCAGGUAUUCGAUUUGGUUUAUUUUACAUUGCUUCCUAUUUAAACCUUUUAAUUUCUUCAUUAUUUGUAACAGUUCUUUACUUGGGCGGUUCAAAUAUUUCUAUUCCGUACAUAUUUGUUUCGCCCACACAAAACAGACAACAGGGACAAAGAUUUUUUUUUGGGGGAGGGUUUUUUCCCCUUUUUUUUUUUUUUUCCCCCCCCCCAAAUUGAUAUUAGCCCUCGCGAAACAGAAAUCUUGAUUUCUUAUUCUUAAGUUUUCUAUAAAGAUUUCUUACUGGCGAGCUACGACAAUUGCACCUAUCAAAGAAACUAAAAGAAAUUAUUGAAAUUAGUUCAAAUGGAAGAAAAAAAAUCUGUUGAUAAAUGAAUUCCCAAUUUGUUGACUAGUACUUAUCAAAUCUUGCUCAAUAAUCUGAUUUGGUCUUGUAGUCCAAAUAAUUCCGUACCAUGAUGUAUCUGAAAUAAUAGUUAUUAGUGAAACAAAAAUACUUCGUACAAACUAUCAAAGUCAUUCCAUCCCCUACGGUCCAAAGAUUCAAAUCUUGGUAAUAUUCGGAACUAUUCAUGAACAUCACAGCAAAUAUGAUUAAAAUGUUAAUAGCUCCCACGUAAAUAAGUAGCUGUGAUGCAGCUACAAAAUGAGAGUUUGCUAAAAUAUAAAUAAAGAUAUACAACCAGAACCAGUCCCAACGAAAAAGCAGAAAAAAUGGGGUUGGUAAGUAAUACUACUCCUAAACUUCCUAAUAGAAGACCCGAUCCCAGAAAGACUAAAAGAAAAUCGUGCAUCGUUUCAGGCAGAUCCAUUAUAUGUAAAAAAAAAAAAAGACAAAGAAAUAUAAAUUUCAUGACCUUAUUGAUAUCACCAGGAAUAAUUUUUAUAUACUUCAAUUUUUCUUUGCAUUGAAAAACCUAAGUAGUUUAAAUUGAUAUAGUUAGGGUUAUAUAAUCAAUGUCAUUCCACUCUUUUUCUUUAUACGAAAGAGUAGUUUGAAACGAUAUUAAAACUAAAGUAUAAAGGUAGAUAGAAAUAUAAAACAUUGAAAAUCUUAUUGAAAUUCAAUAAGAUUUUCAAUUUCGAUAAUAUAUAUUGAUAUAUUCUAUUUAAGAAUAUAGUUCUCUAAUAAUUAUAGAAUAUUUCUAAUCUGAUAUCGACUAUAUUAUUCAUUUUUUAUACAAUUUUUGAAAAUAUUUUAUUUCGAUUAUUCUAUUUAUAUAUUCUAUAUAUUAUCGAUUUAUAUAUAGAAUAUUCUUUUUUUUUUAGAAUUGUAUUUAAUUAUAAAAAAUUGUCUUUUUUGAUUUGAAUUGUUCGAAUUGUAUAAUCAUCAAUUAUUGACAUUGGUAAACGCCCAAAGCAAUUUGAUUAUAAUUCAAUUCAUGACGAUCAUAAGUUGAAAGUUCAUAUUCUUCAGUCAUUGAUAAACAAUUUGUUGGACAAUACUCAAUACAGUUACCACAAAAAAAUACAGAUUCCGAAAUCAAUACUGUAAUUUAGCAAUCGUUUCUUUCGAAUAUCCGUUUCCAUUUUCCAAUCAACAACGGGUAAAUCUAUAGGACAUACACGACACAUACUUCACAAGCAAUGCAUUUAUCAAAUUCAAAAUGGAUUCGCCCGCGGAAACGUUCUGAUGUGAUUAAUUUUUCAUAAGGAUAUUGAAUAGUUACAGGUAAACGAUUUGCGUGAGAUAAGAUAAUCAUGAAACUUUGACCAAUGUACCUUGCAGCUCGUAGUGUUUGUUGACCAUAAUUCAUGAACCCAGUUACCAUAAGGAACAUAUCGUAAAUAUCUAUGAAUAGUAUAGUUUUGUUUGAUUUCUUUCUCUUAUUUGAGACAAGUAAUGAAUAUAAAAGAUCCAUCUUUGUUUUACAGCGAAAACAAUUGAGACGAAGUUGUUAAUAAUAGAUUACCUACAGAAAUCGGUAAAAGAAAUUUCCAUCCAAGAUUUAAUAAUUGAUCCAUUCUUAGCCUAGGCAAAGACCAUCUUGUUAUGAUAGAAACGAAUAAGAAAAAAUAGCUUUUAGCUAAUGUAAUAAAGAGAUCACUUGUAGUUCCAAAAACUCCGUAUGUUUUAUUUAUUUCAAAAAAUUCGGAAACAAAUAUGUACGGAAUAGAAAUAUUUGAACCGCCCAAGUAAAGAACUGUUACAAAUAAUGAAGAAAUUAAAAGGUUUAAAUUAGGAGCAACGUAAAAUAAACCAAAUCGAAUACCUGAAUAUUCUGUUUGAUAACCAGCUACUAAUUCUUCUUCUGCUUCUGGUAAAUCAAAAGGUAAUCUUUCACAUUCUGCUAGCGAAGAAAUUAGAAAAACGAUGAAACCCAUAGGUUGACGCCACAAAUUCAACCCCAAAAACCAUAUUUUGAUUGCGCAUCAACUAUAUCAACUGUACUUAAACUGUUAGAUAAUCCUAGUCGGUGAUAACAUUACUGUUCCCAUCUCUAUUACAGAACCGUACAUGAGAUUUUCACCUCAUACGGCUCCUGGAAAGCCUUAAGUAAAUUUAAGGACCGGGUCGAUUAUUUAUCUCUUGAUAUAUCCCUAAGAUAUAGAAGAUGAAAAUCUAUCGAACGUUCUGAAUUAGACCAAUUCAAUUCUGUCUGUUCUACAAAUAACGAAAUAAGAAAGAUAAAUCUAUUUUAAUAAAAGAUCCAAUUAAGGCACUUCUGAAUUGAUCUCAUCCCUCAAAAAAAAAAAAUAAAACUUUGUUGAGUAAUAACUGAAUUCUUCAAUAAAAUACUCUUUUAUAAUUCUCAAUAAUCCUCAUGAUUUUGAAUGACGAAAAAUAAUUACACAUUCGUUUCUUAAUUCU
RNAcentral lists this long non-coding RNA (3118 nucleotides) under Lathyrus oleraceus (garden pea). Lineage: Eukaryota; Viridiplantae; Streptophyta; Magnoliopsida; Fabales; Fabaceae. The record is from RNAcentral.